UUUGAGACAAAUCUCAUGUAUCUAAGGCUGGCUAGAACUCAUUCCGUAGUCCAAGCUGGUCUUGAACUCUUGAUUCUUCUGCUUCAACCUCACAAGUGCUGGAAUUACAGGUGUGAGCCGCCUCACCUGCCCUCGUCCUUAUCUACAGGCCAACUUUGGUUUAAAAAACAAAAACAAAAAACUAAAUAACAUCCCCCCGACACCCCCCCCACGGGGGGCCUACUCAAGGACCUGGUGCAAACGAUUGACUUGGGCUCUAUCAAAAUGUACAGUGUUACAGGAUUGUUACUGUUGCGAUCCCGCUCUACAGAUUGCUUUUGUAAGAAGCCUUGAUGGCGGUCAGUAGCUGCAGGGAGGGUUUGAAAGGAAAGGCCUUCAGGAAAGAUAAUGUAGUUCAAAAAACAGGCCCAAGCCAGGAUGUGUAACCAUUUCCAGUUGACAGGUUAACUCUUGAAAUUUCUGCAGUUCAGAUGAACUGUUCCCAUGUGUCUAGUCCUGCCUGGACCCUUUCUUAGCUUAAAGUCCUGACUGUAAGACACUAAGCCUGCAGGAUAGUUCAAAGGACAGCCUAGGGGGCUGUCCUGGGAACCUGAACUGAUUAUUAGUAUCGUGGAAUUGUCCAGAGCCAUUUUCUGGUAGGAAACAGGAAUUACGGAAGCUGCUGCUAAGAGCAGAGGCCAGACUUCUCUCCCUACCCUUCAACAAGCCCCAGGAACCUUCUCAUUGUAUUCCCCUUUUAUUUAAGCUGACUGGGUUGAUCUCCGGGGUCAACAAACAAAGGAAGCUUAUAAAUAUUUAAUCACUAGGCUUGGUGGCACACCUGUCACCCCAGCACCUGAUCUCAGAGGCUGUGUGAGACCUUGGCUCAAAAACCAGGAAAAGUCAACGAUGUGCUUUGAAACUGAAGCAUGUGGCUUGAGUGAGACUAGGAAUCUUCCCCUCCAGUAGAUGACCUGACCCCUGGAUGUGCAACAGCCACAGGCUGCUGCUGCUGCUGCUGCUGCUGAUGAU
Onychomys torridus (southern grasshopper mouse) is the source of this 1011-nucleotide long non-coding RNA. RefSeq lists it as uncharacterized. The transcript is spliced from 3 exons. The record is from RefSeq and is a predicted model, not a curated record. NCBI's taxonomy places the organism in Eukaryota, Metazoa, Chordata, Mammalia, Rodentia, Cricetidae.